Molecule: long non-coding RNA, 361 nt
Organism: Drosophila innubila
Lineage: Eukaryota; Metazoa; Arthropoda; Insecta; Diptera; Drosophilidae
Exons: 2
Source: RefSeq, a predicted model, not a curated record
GAGGGGACAGAAGAGCGGGAAUGGAAUGUCGGAAAAUAAAGCAAAUUAAAUGGAAAGCGGCGUGUAAAUCUGUCGCAUUAGCAAAACAUCAUGUUUCACUGCGAAUGGCACGCACUGUAAAAUAUGUUAAGUAGAAGGAGGCUGUUCUCUGUUUGCUAUUGACACGGCGGAGGAGGCGAGAGAAAGAGGAGAGAGAGGGAGAGAGAGCAGCUUUGGUCGUCUAACGGCAAUGCAGCCAAGUGUGCAUUACAGUGGGACGAAAGCGUGCGGUAAUAGACAGUUUAAUUUAAAGCGAAAACAAAAAUAGCUUUGUGAAACAAAUUAUAAGUCUAGUCGUAAGCAAGACUGAGAGAGAGAGAGA